This 400-nucleotide ribosomal RNA is filed under the name uncultured bacterium. Its description in RNAcentral is "bacterial SSU rRNA". It matches the Rfam family "Bacterial small subunit ribosomal RNA", at positions 358 to 774 of the family's 1533-position model. The record is from RNAcentral.
GGAAUAUUGGGCAAUGGACGAAAGUCUGACCCAGCAAUGCCGCGUGCGGGAUGAAGGUCUUCGGAUUGUAAACCGCUGUCAAGAGGGACGAAACAUGACGGUACCUCUGGAGGAAGCCACGGCUAACUACGUGCCAGCAGCCGCGGUAAUACGUAGGGGGCAAGCGUUGUCCGGAAUGAUUGGGCGUAAAGGGCGCGUAGGCGGCUCGGUAAGUCUGAAGUGAAAGUCCUGGUUUUAAGUUGGGAAUUGCUUUGGAUACUGUCGGGCUUGAGUGCAGGAGAGGUAAGUGGAAUUCCCAGUGUAGCGGUGAAAUGCGUAGAGAUUGGGAGGAACACCAGUGGCGAAGGCGACUUACUGGACUGUAACUGACGCUGAGGCGCGAAAGUGUGGGGAGCAAACA